AUGUAUGUAGCUCAGUGGUAGAGCACUUGCCUAGCACACGCAAGACCCUGAGUUCUAUCCUCAGCAAGGAGA
RNAcentral lists this transfer RNA (72 nucleotides) under Neotoma lepida (desert woodrat). It matches the Rfam family "tRNA". From Rfam's summary of the family: Transfer RNA (tRNA) molecules are approximately 80 nucleotides in length. The record is from Rfam by way of RNAcentral. Lineage: Eukaryota; Metazoa; Chordata; Mammalia; Rodentia; Cricetidae.